GAAAUGCGAUAAGUAGUGUGAAUUGCAGAAUUCAGUGAAUCAUCGAAUCUUUGAACGCACAUUGCGCCCCUCGGUAUUCCGUGGGGCAUGCCUGUUCGAGCGUCAUCUACACCCUCAAGCUCUGCUUGGUGUUGGGCGUCUGUCCCGCCUUCGCGCGUGGACUCGCCCCAAAUGCAUUGGCAGCGGUCCUUGCCCCCUCCCGCGCAGCACAUUGCGCUUCUCGAGGCUGCGGCGGCCCGCGUCCGGUCCUCGAGCGUAUGGGGCUUUGUCACCCGCUCGAUAAGGACCGGCCGGGCGCCAGCCGGCGUCUCCAACCUUUUUUUCUCAGGUUGACCUCGGAUCAGGUAGGGAUACCCGCUGAACUUAAGC
RNAcentral lists this unclassified non-coding RNA (369 nucleotides) under plant metagenome. Its description in RNAcentral is "partial contains 5.8S ribosomal RNA, internal transcribed spacer 2, and large subunit ribosomal RNA". The stretch from base 1 to 105 matches the Rfam family "5.8S ribosomal RNA", at positions 50 to 154 of the family's 154-position model. The record is from RNAcentral.